CACACCUGGCAUACUAAGCACCUGAAGAGCCAACACAAAGCCGAUCAGGACAUGCCCCCCACUUUACUCCGCUCUUCCCCCUCACUAUGGCUCCCUUGAAGUAUCCCUUAGAACAGCAAUAGUGAGGUUAUGGCUGCAAUAUCAGUGGUACACUGCUCUACGGUGUCCUCGACAUCGCCCACACGGAGGAGUGUAAAUGGAAGAGACUAUGCUGCUGAGGCCUCACAGCUGCGAGCAGAUUUUUGUAAAUCAACCCAUGGUAAGGAGGAGUGCAGUGAAGCAAGGGAUCCCGAGUAAUUGUUGGUUCAUGACCUCAGCAUACAGAGACCCUCCACCUGAAGACCUAACUUCCUGCAAUCACCCGACACUAAAUGUCUUACAUUGAAAUAAA
This is a long non-coding RNA of Clupea harengus (Atlantic herring), 391 nucleotides long. The record is from Ensembl. NCBI's taxonomy places the organism in Eukaryota, Metazoa, Chordata, Actinopteri, Clupeiformes, Clupeidae.